GAUGAAGAAGGUAGCGAAAUGCGAUAAGUCAUGUGAAUUGCAGAAUUCAGUGAAUCAUCGAAUCUUUGAACGCACAUUGCGCCCGCUGGUAUUCCGGCGGGCAUGCCUGUUCGAACGUCAUUUCAACCCUCAAGCUCUCCGGAGUUUGGUGUUGGGGCGCCUGGGGCUUUUCGACCUCAGGGCCCUCAAGUCCAUCGGCGGGACCGCCAGGACACUGAGCGCAGUAGUAUUAUUUCGCUCGGUAGGAUCUUCCACGGCGGGUCGAUCUGGCCGCUAAACCCCCCAAUUCUCACCAAAGGUUGACCUCGGAUCAGGUAGGAAUACCCGCUGAACUUAAGCAUAUCAAUAAGCGGAGGA
Molecule: unclassified non-coding RNA, 357 nt
Filed under: soil metagenome
Description: partial contains 5.8S ribosomal RNA, internal transcribed spacer 2, and large subunit ribosomal RNA
Rfam family: 5.8S ribosomal RNA (bases 1-120)
Source: RNAcentral